Amanita rubescens is the source of this 94-nucleotide non-coding RNA. The record is from the annotation of a GenBank genome assembly. NCBI's taxonomy places the organism in Eukaryota, Fungi, Basidiomycota, Agaricomycetes, Agaricales, Amanitaceae.
GCCCGCCUAGCUCAAUUGGAUAGAGCGUCAGACUUUUAAAGACGAAAGUCUACAGGGCAUCUGAAGGCUGCGAGUUCGAUCCUCGCGGUGGGCU